AAGACAGACCGUACUGUGGGUUUUAUAAUGAACAGUGUGAAACUUCAGUUAUAAGUACGCCAGUGACCGUUCUGAUUGUCGUCCUGUUGGUAACCGCCUCAGGAGCUGCCAGCAUAAUGGUGUUUUUAAAGAUCCAGGAAAGGAAGCUACAAAAGCAAAUGGAUGACAUCUGGUGGAAAAUAAACUACAAUGAUAUUAUUAUGCUUAAAGAUCAUAAGGAUCAUUUUGAGCUAUCACAAACAAGCACACCAGU
Chrysemys picta bellii (western painted turtle) is the source of this 253-nucleotide long non-coding RNA. The record is from Ensembl. Lineage: Eukaryota; Metazoa; Chordata; Testudines; Emydidae.